UGCAGUCGANCGGCAGCGCGGGGCAACCUGGCGGCGAGUGGCGAACGGGUGAGUAAUAUAUCGGAACGUGCCCUGGAGUGGGGGAUAACGCAGCGAAAGUUGCGCUAAUACCGCAUACGAUCUAAGGAUGAAAGCGGGGGAUUCGCAAGAACCUCGUGCUCCUGGAGCGGCCGAUAUCUGAUUAGCUAGUUGGUGGGGUAAAGGCCUACCAAGGCAUCGAUCAGUAGCUGGUCUGAGAGGACGACCAGCCACACUGGAACUGAGACACGGUCCAGACUCCUACGGGAGGCAGCAGUGGGGAAUUUUGGACAAUGGGCGAAAGCCUGAUCCAGCAAUGCCGCGUGAGUGAAGAAGGCCUUCGGGUUGUAAAGCUCUUUUGUCAGGGAAGAAACGGUGAAGGCUAAUAUCCUUUGCUAAUGACGGUACCUGAAGAAUAAGCACCGGCUAACUACGUGCCAGCAGCCGCGGUAAUACGUAGGGUGCAAGCGUUAAUCGGAAUUACUGGGCGUAAAGCGUGCGCAGGCGGUUUUGUAAGUCUGUCGUGAAAUCCCCGGGCUCAACCUGGGAAUUGCGAUGGAGACUGCAAGGCUAGAAUCUGGCAGAGGGGGGUAGAAUUCCACGUGUAGCAGUGAAAUGCGUAGAGAUGUGGAGGAACACCGAUGGCGAAGGCAGCCCCCUGGGUCAAGAUUGACGCUCAUGCACGAAAGCGUGGGGAGCNNCAGGAUUAGAUACCCUGGUAGUCCACGCCCUAAACGAUGUCUACUAGUUGUCGGGUUUUAAUUAACUUGGUAACGCAGCUAACGCGUGAAGUAGACCGCCUGGGGAGUACGGUCGCAAGAUUAAAACUCAAAGGAAUUGACGGGGACCCGCACAAGCGGUGGANGAUGUGGAUUAAUUCGAUGCAACGCGAAAACCUUACCUACCCUUGACAUGUACGGAAGCCACGAGAGAUCGAG
Molecule: ribosomal RNA, 956 nt
Filed under: uncultured bacterium
Lineage: Bacteria
Description: bacterial SSU rRNA
Rfam family: Bacterial small subunit ribosomal RNA
Source: RNAcentral